Molecule: ribosomal RNA, 250 nt
Filed under: uncultured bacterium
Lineage: Bacteria
Description: partial 16S ribosomal RNA
Rfam family: Bacterial small subunit ribosomal RNA
Source: RNAcentral
UACGAAGGGGCUAGCGUUGUUCGGAUUUACUGGGCGUAAAGCGCGUGUAGGCGGGUCGUUAAGUUGGGGUGAAAUCCCGAGGCUCAACCUCGGAACUGCCUUCAAACUGGCGACCUGGACUCAAGUAGAGGCAAGUGGAAUUGCGAGUGUAGAGGUGAAAUUCGUAGAUAUUCGCAGGAACACCAGUGGCGAAGGCGACUUGCUGGACUUGUAGUGACGCUGAGACGCGAAAGCGUGGGGAGCAAACAGG